AAUUGUUUUUUUACCUUAUUACCCCCUUCAACUUUCUUUGUCCUCUCCAUGUGUCUUCAUCUCUGUUGAAAUUGCCGACCAAAAGUAAGCUAAAUUCUACAAUUCUCAAAUUUAAUUUCACAUUUUCAAUUGAUUUCAAGAAAAAAUGAUACCAAAUUGGCCAACACAAGUUGAUAUGAGCUCCAAUGAAGUGCUGAAUUUUUAUUUUACAUUUUCAAUUCAAGAAAAAUUGAUACAAGAAAUGAAGCGGUCGUAGAAUAAUUGGCCAACAAAAAUUGAUAUGAGCUCCAUUGAAGUGCUGAAUUUUUAUUUUACAUUUCAAUUCAAGAAAAAUUGAUACAAGAAAUAAAGUGGUCGGAGAAGGUGGAGAAUGGUGCGCGGUGGUCGUGCUGUGGCUGGUGGCUUAGGGCGGUAGAUUGGAGUGGCGAUUGGUGUUGGCUGUAAGAAGAGGUGAUGCGAUGUUGUUAUUGUGGGUUGCGGAUGGUUUAAUGGUGGGAAUGCGAGGUGGCUGUGAGUUGCAAUUUGCGGUGUAAAAUAUAAGAAGGUCCAUUCAAAUUGGGUCCUUGAGAAGUUGAUAAAAGAAAUGACCUCAAAGCAGCAUUUCGUGGUCCAUCCGUUGGUGUCGACCACGGUGAGGAAGGGGGUAGGACAGCAUAGCCUCCUGUCGAGGGGGAGGCGGGGGAAGAUGACGGCCGGACUUUAUGGGAGGUGGGUCACCGGUUUCUCCGGCAACUCUUUCUCUCUCCUCUCGAUAUAGUGCAAAAAUACAAGAUUGGACUCCACAAAGGAUCUAGCUCUUUUACUGAGGCACGUGCUGCUGGGUUCAGUGAAGAGAAUAACACUUUAGGUGAGAUGUGGGAGACUAUUUUCGAAAGUGAUCUUCUGAUGCUGCUGAUUUCUGACUCUGCUCAGGCUGACAACUAUGAAAAGAUUUUCUCCCACAUGAAACCAAACAUCAUUCUUAAGUUGUCUUAUAGAUUUCUUUUGGGGCAUCUGCAGUCUUUGGGAAAGGACUUUCCCAAGAAUUUAGUGUGAUUACUGUAUGCCCAAACGAAAUGGGGCCUUCUGUAAGGAGGUUGUAUGUCUAGGGUAAAGACGUCAAUGGUGCUGGAAUAAACUCUAGCUUUGUCGUUCACCCGGUUUGGGUCUUUUUUUUUAUUCUUGCUAAUGCAUUGUUGGUGGUCUGCCUUUCCUAAUGCUUGAAUUUGCACUCGCUAUAAUUAGAAUUUACUAUUUCUUUGCUUGUAGGAUGUCGAUGGUAAGGCUACAAAUGUAGUACUUGGCUGGUCAGUUGUACUAUUCUUUUCUAUCAAAGAAGAUAAAUUAUCUACAAUUUUUCAGUUAUUGUUAAUUUUAACUUCUAUCUAUAAUUGGUGACUCAGUUAAAUGGAUGAAUUUGAAAGGUCUACUCAAUUAAUAAGUAAUUAAAUGAGAGAUAGAAUAAUUCCAUGACAACAUUAGUUACUGCCUACUGAAGAACCAAAAGGUUGUUGAUGUAGGAGUAUGGUACAAAAUAACUACGGUGAAAGGUGGAAGAAAGAAAGAAGGAAUUCAAGGGAAUAAUCAAAGGUUAAAAGAAAGCAAGAAAGCAAGAGUACAAAUCGGAGCCAUUUACAAGCAGCAGGUUCCCGAAUUGACUCUCUUUUUACUUGUCCAACAACUGAAAUUAUAAUUUCUAUAUGUGAUGGCAAAUUUCCUAGAUAUCCUAUUACAUCAAAGACAAGAAUGUGUGCUAAAAAACGGGCGAUUUUGGGGAUUCCAAAACCUAAACGCCAAAAGCAAUCAAAGGCAGGUGCUGCAAUAAAUGUUUGCCAAUCGCUGCCUACUAAGUCCAUGGAGUUGUCUGCCCCUCAUUUUUGUGAUAAGUGUCGUGCCAAAAAGCUAGCCUUUGAGUCAUUGCAUUUUUUUGCUGUGAUGGUGAAGUUGAAAUUGCUUCUAAUGCUUUACCCCCUGAAUUAGAUAAACUUUAUACUUCUAAUGACGAUGAUUCAGAUCAUUUUCAGACAUAUUCUCGCCUUUAUAAUAACCUCGUUGCUUUUAGCUCAAUUGGUGGAUCAAUGGAUGGGGAUAUUCAUAAAGGAAUAUAUGCUUUGAAGGUUCAUGGCCAAAUUUAUCAUAAUAUUCCUGACCUGUUGCCUGAUAAUGAACCACUAAAAUAUAUACUACUUUACUUCUACGAUGCUAUGUUUGAGGCAGAAAAUAGAUAUAGUCUUUUUCCAAACUUACGUCCGAGUAUAAUUUCCUUGAGCAUGGCUAUUAUGCUUUUGAAUCCAUAUGCCAAGUUUUUCAUGUCUCUUCGAGAGAUUGAAGUCACUAAAGAGACUGAAAUCAGGCUUAAUAAACACCCCGUUCUUGAUCAACGUGUUUACAAUGCUCCGACGUCCGAAGAAGUAGCUGUGAUAUGGAGUGAAGGUACUUAAUUUAGCCAAAGCAACAGCCCACAUAUCAUUGUUCAUGGGAAAUCAAACAAGACCCAUAGGAUAUAUCAUUAUUAUGGAUGUUACGAUUCGCUACAAUACCCGCUUCUAUUUCCUUUAGGUGACUGUGGGUGGCAUCACGGUUUACUAAAAAUGUCUGACGGAAGACUGUCCCAGGUGGAAGACCUUUCAAAUAUUUUCAUUUCAGAUAAUGUUCAAGAGGCAUCUGAUUUGGUAACUGAAGAAGGUUCUGCUGCUGCUCGGGGAAAGAAGGGCAAGCUUAUUUCUUGCAGGGAGUACUAUGCAUACAAGUUUCAAAUGCAUGCUGGAAAUUUCAUCCUAUGGGCUGGGCGGCUGUUCUUGCAAUAUAUUGUAGACAUGUAUGUGAAGAUAGAGAAUACUCGGCUGGAUUUCUUUAGACAAAAUCAGUCACAAAUUAGAGCUGAGCUAUAUCAGGGUUUAGUAUAUACACGUGAAGGCAGUGAAGCAAAUGCAUCGAAUGUAGGUUAGUGUGUUAUCCUCCCUCCUUCCUUUUUUGGGGGGCCUCGUGAUAUGCAACGGUGUUAUCUCAAUGCUAUCGCUCUUGUACAACGUUUUGGGAAACCGGACUUAUUCAUAACAAUGACCUGCAACUCAAAUUGGCAAGAAAUCAAAGCAGAGCUGGCACACGGGGAAAAAGCACAAAACCGACUCGAUCUUCUCGCUUGUGUUUUUAGAGAAAAGCUUAUAGAACUGAAAAAAAUAAAAGAAGAACAAGGGUUUGGAGAGGUGGCUGCAUUCAUAUGUAGUUGAGCUCCAAAAACGUGGCUUGCCACAUGUCGUAUGCUCAUUAUUUUAAAGCCGGAAUUUAAGAUAAAGCAUCCAGAAUUAUUUGACAAGUACGUGUCUGCCAAAAUUCCUCCCCAUGAAAACCCACACUAACGAAAAGUGGUCUUAAACCAUAUGAUACAUGGCCCAUGUGGGAAGGAUAACCCUGAAUGCCCAUGCAUGAAGCAUAGAGGAAUGGAAGGGAAGUGCAAAUACGACUAACCUAAGUCUUGUUAUGAUAUUACAACAAGCCAUGAAUGUGGGUAUCCUGAAUACAGACGCUGGGACACAGGUGAGUCUAUUGUGAUUAGAUUGAAAAGGUUGGAAAACCGUUGGGUCGUUCCAUAUAACCCUUAUCUAUCUGCCUUAUUCGACUGCCACUUGAAUGUGUAGGUAUGUUCAACAAUUCAAGCAGUUAAGUACCUUUACAAAUACGUUUAUAAAGGACAUGAUCGGGUAUCAUAUAACGUACAAGCUUCAUCAGGCCCUGUAAAUAAGAUUGAGCAAUUUCAAGCAGGCCGUUGGGUAUCCCCUUGUGAAGCCGCAUGGAGAAUCUUUGGGUUUGACCUGUUUGAAAUGAGCCCCCCAGUAGUAACACUGCAAAUUCACCUGCCUAAUCAGGACAGUGUGAGUUUCUCUCCCAAUGAACAACUAGCCUCUGUUGUUUCAGAUAGGCACCGAGCCCGUACUUCAUUAACUGAGUUCUUUAGAAUGAACAACACAAUCCCAAACAUACCAAAAUACACAUAUGCAGAAUUUUGUGAGCAUUAUGUGUGGAAUCAUGCUACAAAAACAUGGUCUAAGCGGGCUAAUUUGCGAACUGCAAUAGGACGUCUGACUUUUGUGGCUCCAUCCGAAGGGGAAAGAUAUUUUCUCAGGCUGCUACUAAUCAAUGUAAGGGGACCAAAAUCCUUUGAAGAUUUACGAACGGUCAACGGCCAACUUUUUGCAACAUUUUAGAAAGCAGCCUUGAAACUUGGUCUUCUGGCAGAAGAUGACGCCGUUGAUAAAUGUAUGGAAGAGGCUGUUACUGCACAUAUGCCAAAAUCUUUGCGUAAAUUAUUUGCUACAAUAUUGAUUUUCGGAAUGCCAAGAGAUCCCCUAGCCCUUUGGCAGAAGUACUACAUUCAUUUGUCCGAAGAUAUCAGGCACCAAAAUCCAGGAAUGGAAGACAAAGUGAAGGCUCUUACUGUGGAAGAGGUAGAGCGUUUCUUAGAAGAAAUGGGGAAAAAUUUGGAAGAAUUUGGCCUAGGGGUGUUGAUAAGCAAUGUAGACUCCGGACUACGGUAAACAAAGGAUAUUGCUGAUGCACUCAAUGCCACAAUACCGGUUGAAUACAUUGAAGCCAUUGACAAGCUCAACCUUGCCCAACGCGAUGCCUUUGAUUGCAUCAUUAAACAUGUGCAGCUUAACAAACCCGGUUCAUUUUUCGUUGACGGUCCGGGAGGCAAUGGCAAGAUAUACCUUUACUGUGCAUUGUAUGCUGCUGUUAGAAAAAUGGGCAAAAUAGUUCUUCCAACAUCUACGUCCGGAAUUGCUGCCUCAAACAUAGUGACUGGGAGGACAGCCCAUUCGCAUUUUAAAAUCCCCCUUAAUCAUAUAGCUUCCAUGUCUUGCAAUGUAUCUAAAUAAAGCAGCUUAGCUGGUCUUCUACGAGAAAGCUCCUUGAUUAUUUGGGAUGAAGCAUCAAUGGCAAUCAAGGAAAAUGUAGAGUUAUUAGACUUAGGGAUUUAUGUGAUAGGCGUACAGCUUUUGGUGGCAAGGUUGUCGUCUUCGGUGGGGACCUUCGGCAAGUAUUGCCUGUGGUACCAAAAAAAUCACAAAAAGAAGUCGUACAAGCAAGCUUAGUCUCUUCUUAUCUAUGGCAUGGUUUCAAACGAAUACGCCUGAGUCAAAACAUGCGAGCCCGAACAGAUCCUGCAUUCUCUAAUUUCUUGCUUGCUUUAAGGGACGGUCGUAUGCAAACAGAAGAGAUAGCUAACAUUCAUCUACCAAGACAACUGGUUGUGCCAUUUGAGGAUGAAAACUACUCUCUGGACUAGCUUCUCAGCCAAAUAUUCCCGGAACUUACCGCAGGUGGUUUCAGUUCCAGCAUCUUCGCUGAAUGUGCAAUCUUGGCUCCCCUCAAUGAUGAUGUUGAUGAUAUAAAUACUUUGCUAAUUGCAAAACACCCUGGUCAGGCUGUAACCUACAAGAGUUUUGAUGUGUUAAUUGAUGAAAAUUGCAAAAUUUACAAAACUGAAUUCCUAAUCGCUUUAUGCCCCGGAGGAAUGAGUCCACAUGCAUGAAUGGGUUCUAAAGGAAAAUUGCCCCGUUAUUCUGCUGAGGAACCUUGUUCCAGCCUCUGGCUUAUGCAAUGGGACACGACUCAUAUGCAAAAGAUUCUACCCCAACAUGAUUGAGUGUGUAAUUGCAACUGGCCAUCAUACUGGUGAAUAUGUAUUUCUGCCACGCAUUGACUUGCGGCCCUGUGCCUCAACUAAUUACCCGUUCUAGUUCCAGCGAAAACAAUUCCCAAUCACUUUUUUUUGCUAUGACAAUCAACAAGGACUAGGGACAAACACUCACUCAAAUAGGGAUAUACCUUAGACGACCUUGCUUCUCUCAUGGACAAUUAUAUGUUUCCUUUUCUCGGGCCUGGAAUUCUAAACAUGUAAGGGUACUGACCAAGCCUACAACUGAAGAUCAGCAGGUGUACAGUGCAAAAAAUGUUAUUUCGUUUGAGAUCUUACUACGAUCAGGUGUUACACAGCAAUCUCCUUCAAGGAACAACUAAAAUAGGAACUUCGGUCUGCUUAUCUGCACGAUGUCCCCUAAACAAAAUUUCAGUCAAUUUAAAAUUUCAAAUGAAGGAGAAUAUUUCAAUAAACUUAGUUCAGCUUUAAAUUAAACAAAAUGUUAUUGUUUCUUGAAACAACCUAUUACUUCUUUUUCUGAAAAUGACAAGCAACUACUUCCUAAUUGGUGUGUGUUUUGUUAAGAUUUCUACUUGGAAUGAUAUCUACUUGUGGUUAUGAUGCAAAUCAGUUGAGAUGAUAAACACAAAUACUGGUAGCCCUACCUUUUUGGCAUAAAAUGUCGGGUUAGCUUUAGUUGCAGCUUGUGGAUUUGUUGUAUCAGAAGUAAGGUAAAAUCUGGGGAAAGGUAGGAAUUACAUGAGAGUAUAGCAACUACUCGAUCCUCUAAGCAAAGCAAUAGGCCAUUUGAUCCAAUAUUUGAGAGGAAAUUCUCUUAUGUUUUCUUAUUUCACAGUUUUCUUUCCCCGUAAAAUAUAUAGCUUCGUGCUUCUUUUCCCUCAAACGUUCUGUCAAAAUUUAAUAGUAUCAAUGAUCUUACGCUUACAAAUUUAAAAGCUAGAGCCUAAGCCCUAGAGGUUAUGAAGAUAAGAAACAUAUACUUAACCACUUGUAAUAUCUUCCUUUAUAUAUAACCAACUUCUCUAGCUGAAAAUUUGAACAUUUUGACACAUUUAUUGUUGAGGACGAUUUCAGUUUCAUUUCUCAGAAUGGACUCACUACUGUCAUAAUUCCUGUAGGAUGGUGGAUAGCCACUAACCCGACACCCCCUAAGCCUUUUGUGGGAGGGUCUUCGCAGGCCUUGGACAACGCCUUCACUUGGGCACAUUAUGUCUUUUUCUGUUUUUCCCUUCUAUGUUCUGUUCACAAUGAUUUACUAAUUUGUGAAUUAGGUACUUAUGGUGUUAUUUGCGUGUAUCGAAC
Molecule: long non-coding RNA, 6943 nt
Organism: Chenopodium quinoa (quinoa)
Lineage: Eukaryota; Viridiplantae; Streptophyta; Magnoliopsida; Caryophyllales; Amaranthaceae
Exons: 7
Source: RefSeq, a predicted model, not a curated record